This is a long non-coding RNA of Cloeon dipterum, 1300 nucleotides long. RefSeq lists it as uncharacterized. The transcript is spliced from 3 exons. NCBI's taxonomy places the organism in Eukaryota, Metazoa, Arthropoda, Insecta, Ephemeroptera, Baetidae. The record is from RefSeq and is a predicted model, not a curated record.
UUCUUGUGUGUAUCUGUAUGUAUGUAAGUGUGCAUACGGAUCGAUACUUUAUCUGCUUCGAACACACAAACACUCGCUCUCUUGCCGGCCGACGGCAAGAAAAUGUAAACCAAAUUUCCUUCUACCAUAGGGAUACUACCACGCCUUUACUGCCUCGUGCUGUUUGGUUCGUACAGAGGACAACGCGCGAACUGCCGUUGAUUGAAAAGCCGCUGUAGGAGAUGAGUGCAGUCACACCGUUUCAUGUCAGGCAUUCGUCCAAUAUUCCUGGGUUCCAGUUAAUUUGUAUUCGUGCACAGCACUAUAAAUUGCAUUUAUUCAACGUUCUCUCUUGUGCAAAUGCAGUGAAUACAUUUGCAGAGUGGAGAUCAAUAGAACGCGCAAUUCUAUUAAAUACAGCAACUCGCCGCUCUGCGUUGAUGAGUGAAAUUUAAUAAUGAAAAACAAUCCCUGGAUAAUCAGUGAUAUAAUCUGAUUUACUUACAUUAAUUUUCAUGUGAGGAUAAAUGAAUACAUUAAAUCGAUUUAAAUCUACCAAGAUUUCUGUUUGUAAUUUUCUCUUUGAACUAUGUGUUGAAAUAUUGCAAUACAUUUCACCAAACGCCCAAUCAACAUUAAUGAGCAUUGCAAUGAAUAUUCAUCCACCCCAUACUGAAAGCAUGAUUUCACUGAAAAGCUCACUCACAUCGGAGCAAUUGGCCAAUUCGAAGCAGUUCAAAUAGAGCCCCUAUUUCACUUGCUUGACUGCGCUUUGAGCGGCCGUGAAUGGCUGUGUCCAGCGCGUCGUUCUUUUUAACUGCCGCUGGUAGAUAGCGGGAGAGCAUAAAUGGCCGUCGGCAUCGCACCACGGCCACCGUGAAAUUGAUAUUAAUCGCGAAUUUCCAGCUCCACAGGCCUCUCUCCCGCACACACGUGCGCAGGAUUAAUAAUAAUUACUAUUAUUAUUGGGCCACUCGCAUGCCAUUGAUCCGCACAGAUGAAAUCACUUGCACGUUCUGAAAUAAAGAAUAAUAAUAAUUCAACCCCGGCGUCAGUUUUUGAUGGCAUUAAUUACGCUCGCAUUGUUCGUUUUUGCAGCGGAUUAGGACGCACAACCGCCCCCGGGUGGUGGAUUAUGAGCUGGAUGCAGGCUGCUAAUUAAAACCUGUGCCGGAGAGACUUCAAAAUGGAAUUCUGGGGUCCAUAAAAGGUCAUUUGCCAACCUCAUUUAGAACGUUGAUUCCAAAGGGAAUUACUUUUAAUUGACUUGAUGAAGGUUUUAGUGAUAUUUUGGUGAUAUAGUUGGAUAUAAUUAUUUUUA